Molecule: small RNA, 177 nt
Filed under: Coturnix japonica (Japanese quail)
Lineage: Eukaryota; Metazoa; Chordata; Aves; Galliformes; Phasianidae
Description: TUC338 (ENSCJPG00005019639.1)
Source: RNAcentral
GUGAGAGUCACAGAAACUAACGACCUCUGUUUCAUGACAAAUGGGAACAACGUUGGGAGUAUCAGAAGAGGCUGCUCCUCACUGAUUAUACAACAUGCUCCAAGCCCAACUAAGAUAGCUCAUUUGCAAAGGUGAGAGGUGAAUUCAGCUUUCAUGUCUAUUUAGUCUUUGAUAUAU